UCAUGUGAUCUGCCUAACGUGUUUCA
This 26-nucleotide unclassified non-coding RNA is filed under the name Mus musculus (house mouse). RNAcentral's name for it is "oocyte_clustered_small_RNA9246". Lineage: Eukaryota; Metazoa; Chordata; Mammalia; Rodentia; Muridae. The record is from RNAcentral.